This 72-nucleotide microRNA precursor is filed under the name Loxodonta africana (African savanna elephant). RNAcentral describes it as "miRNA (ENSLAFG00000029269.1)". The record is from RNAcentral. Lineage: Eukaryota; Metazoa; Chordata; Mammalia; Proboscidea; Elephantidae.
AGUCAGCCUGUUCUUUGAAGCUUUGAAGGCAGGCAUUGACUUCUCUCUAGCUAUGAAAGUGUUAGAUGGCAU